CACAAUGGCCAAUCUAAGUGAUCAGGGCACUGCUAACAACCACUGGGCUGAUGAUCUAAGUUAAUUAGAUCUAAGUUAACUAGAUCUAAAACAACCUCUGGGCUGAUCAUAAAAGAUUGAACCUGAAACAACCUCAGCAAACAAGCCGUCAGUGGUUCGAGUCCCGCGAGAACCCAACUGAGGCAGAUUUUUUAAUCUGCUUAUACACUCGAUGUAGCAUACACUUAACAUACAAACCUCAGGGUUAGUUGUUCUUGGUUAGUCAUUGCUAACUCCCAGAUUAAAUUGGAAUUUAGAGAGAAAAAUCAAACCCUGAGAAAAACCUUUGAAUCAAGGCCAAGAAUUGAACCUGAGACCCUAGAGGUGAGAAGCAAGUGGGUUAUUGCCCGCCGACGAACCACAAAACACAGUAACUGCUUUCAAAGGUUCCAUUGUUAUGGCUUAUUAAGACGUUGUUUACGAUUGGACAACUGCAGCUUCAAACAACAAGAAAAGGCUCGAUCAGCACCCCCACUUUUCAAGUUGUUCAAUCGCCACUGAAUGGGAGAAGAGAGAGAUGGAAUCACUGUAAGGAGAUUCCAAGAUGGGAUUGCAUAACAAACCCCAUCCAAUGUUACAAACCUCGNGAGGCCCUUAAUGGCAGGGACAUUGGUAGGACACCAUAGCCUGCUAACAUAGGGAUGAUAAAUCAUCAAGAAUGGUUGAAGAACAGGACAGGAAUCCCCCUAUUUUCACUUAAUCUAUGUGUACAUCCCUGCUUUCUGUUGUCACACAACUAGCCUCAACUUCCAAUAAAGCCCAGUUGUAGCAGAAUUCAUAUACGUAAAGUUCUAAUGUGUAAUUGUUUUAAUUUUUACAAUAAACAUGUUUAUAUUUAUUCAAA
RNAcentral lists this long non-coding RNA (883 nucleotides) under Actinia tenebrosa (Australian red waratah sea anemone). Its description in RNAcentral is "uncharacterized LOC116298882, transcript variant X2". Lineage: Eukaryota; Metazoa; Cnidaria; Anthozoa; Actiniaria; Actiniidae. The record is from RNAcentral.